UAAUGAGAGUUUGAUCCUGGCUCAGGACGAACGCUGGCGGCGUGCCUAAUACAUGCAAGUAGAACGCUGAAGAGAGGAGCUUGCUCUUCUUGGAUGAGUUGCGAACGGGUGAGUAACGCGUAGGUAACCUGCCUGGUAGCGGGGGAUAACUAUUGGAAACGAUAGCUAAUACCGCAUAACAAUGGAUGACACAUGUCAUUUAUUUGAAAGGAGCAAUUGCUCCACUACAAGAUGGACCUGCGUUGUAUUAGCUUGUUGGUGAGGUAACGGCUCACCAAGGCGACGACGGGUAGCCGGCCUGAGAGGGUGACCGGCCACAUUGGGACUGAGAUACGGCCCAGACUCCUACGGGAGGCAGCAGUGGGGAAUAUUGCACAAUGGGCGCAAGCCUGAUGCAGCGACGCCGCGUGAGGGAUGACGGCCUUCGGGUUGUAAACCUCUUUCAGUAGGGAAGAA
RNAcentral lists this ribosomal RNA (456 nucleotides) under uncultured Symbiodinium. RNAcentral describes it as "partial Bacterial small subunit ribosomal RNA". It matches the Rfam family "Bacterial small subunit ribosomal RNA", at positions 1 to 449 of the family's 1533-position model. The record is from RNAcentral. Lineage: Eukaryota; Dinophyceae; Suessiales; Symbiodiniaceae.